Molecule: RNA transcript, 2653 nt
Organism: Cyclopterus lumpus (lumpfish)
Lineage: Eukaryota; Metazoa; Chordata; Actinopteri; Perciformes; Cyclopteridae
Gene: cdc14b
Gene name: cell division cycle 14B
Exons: 15
Source: RefSeq, a predicted model, not a curated record
GUCACCAUCACCCGGAGAGGCUGGAACAGACGACGAGACCUCGUUUGACACACACACACACACACACAAAGGCUCACACACACGCGCAAAUCCAGAGCACCAGACCAUGCCAUAAUAAGUGCCGCGUCAAUACGGGGAUACGCCGCCGCACUGCGAAGCAAAGGGGGGCCGUUGCAGCCGCUCGGGAAUGUCCGCCGUGCGGACCUGAAGACAACAUGAAGCGCAAGAGCGAGAGGAGACGAGCCGAGUCGAGGAAAAGGCGCUGCGCAGCUCACAGCAGCUCAGAGGCGGAGCCAAACUCCAAUAUUUACACUGAGAUAACAGAUCAACUGUACUUCGCCGUACUGAAGCAGAAGAUCAAGAGCACGGGCGAGCGGCACUGUUUCUGCGUGGACGAGGAGCUGGCGUACGAGAACUUCUAUGCAGACUUUGGUCCCCUUAACCUGGCCAUGUUCUAUCGCUUCUGCUGCAAGCUGACAAAGAAGCUCAAGUCCAUCAUGCUCUCGAGGAAGAAGAUCAUAUUUUACACAUGCGGGGACCAGAAGAAACAAGCCAAUGCCGCCUACUUGAUCGGCUCCUAUGCGGUGAUGCAUCUAAACAUGAUGCCAGAAGAGGCCCACAGUCUGCUGGUGUCGAGGAAUUCAACGUAUAUUCCAUUCAGAGAUGCCUCAUUCGGAACCUGCAUGUACAAUCUGAACAUCCUCGAUUGCCUUCGUGGUGUUCACAAGGCUCUGCAGUACGGCUGGCUCGACUUCUCCAACUUCGACGUGGAGGAAUACGAGCACUACGAGCGAGCGGAAAACGGCGACUUGAACUGGAUCAUUCCGGGAAAGUUCCUGGCGUUCAGCGGGCCUCAUCCAAAGAGCAAAAUCGAGAACGGGUACCCGUUGCACGCUCCCGAGGCCUACAUCCCGUACUUCAGGAAUCACAACAUCACCACCGUCAUCAGGCUCAACAAGAAGAUGUACGACGCUCGGCGUUUCACGGAAUCCGGAUUUGAGCACCACGACCUGUUCUUUGUGGACGGGAGUACGCCGACCGACGCCAUCGUCAGGAAGUUCCUCAAUAUCUGCGAGAACGCCGAAGGAGCCAUUGCGGUCCACUGCAAAGCUGGUCUGGGAAGGACUGGCACUCUGAUUGGCUGUUAUAUGAUGAAACAUUACUGCCUGAGUGCCGCCGAGGCCAUCGCCUGGAUACGGAUCUGCAGGCCAGGGUCCAUCAUUGGGCCUCAGCAGAACUUCGUUGAAGAUAAGCAGAACAGCCUGUGGGCAGAGGGAGAUGUGUUCCGGGAGAAGACUCUGAAUGAGCGCGAGAACGGAAAGGUGGCCGUCACCCGGAUCCUGUCCGGUGUGGAUGACAUCACCAUCAAUGGGAGCAACAAAAACCGUGUGUCCAACAAAGAGGAAACUGAACAGUAUAACGACGACGACGAGAGAAAUGGCCUCACUCAAGGGGAUAAACUACGAGCCCUGAAGAGCAAGAGGCAGGCCAGAUCGUCCUCGGGUUCACUAUCACAAGAAGAGAAUAAGAUUCACACCCGGUCGUCGACACAGUCCCUCAGCCGAGUCGUACUGCAGGCCAGCGUCAACCCCUUGUCUCUGUCUGACCAAUCGGACAGCAGGAAGAGGACCCGGACCUCGCUGCCGGCCAAUGGAGUGGAAGGAAGUUGGAGAAGCAACCAAGAGGCUAUAGCCACUCACGGGUCCCGCUGGAGUAACUUUAAUGGCUUCCCUUCUCUCUGCCAGCUCCCUGUGCCACACCAGACUGGUCAGGUCCCUAGGGAACUUGCAUGUAGUGGCUGGCGACAGGGCCCCUCUGUGUUGGGAGCCAUGUGGCAGCCAUAGAGAGACGGCCAGCGCCACAGCCAACACAGGCCCUCUGAUCAACUUAAACAUGGCACAGGUCCACCUGCAGCCACUCCAUACCCAAAGCUAGAGCUCCUCUACUUCGGUGAGCCCGUCGAUCUGGAAAUCCCGAGGAACUUUACAUGGAAUCCAACUUCUAUACAGCCGUAAUCCAUUUACAUUUGUGUUUGAGAAAAAAAAGGUUGGCACAAACUAACCAACUUUAUGUGACGCGUAAAUCAUUAUAGAUUUGUUCGAUUACAAGUAUAUUUUAACGGUAAGGCACUUUUGGGUUUUUAUACUUUUUAACUAAGAAUCAUGAAGAAUAGGGAUAGUUUUAAUCAUUGCCUGGUUGCUCCUACCUAUUGAAGCAUGCAGUAGCAAACAUCCGACCCGGCAUGUGAAGCCGAGAUGUCCUCAGAAAUGAGCACUGCAGCACAUUCUGGGUCAUGAAAAUGAACUCAGUCUGUUACAGUUGUAGAUUGAUUUGGCCGUGCGGUUUGGAUGUCGUUGAAACAUCAAGUCCAUCACACAAUGCAGUACUGUGCUCAUGUUGUCAUUAUCUGGCUUUUCAGCUACUGUAUUCCAAGUCUGUAAAUAUGUCAACAUUUGAUAUACUCAGUUUGUAUUUUUUAACUAUUUUGUACCAUGCUAUGAAGUGUCAAUGGUCCCAUUGGGGCUCUAACUCAUGUUCAUAAUCCACUGAAGACAUAUUGCUUUAAGCACACAGAAUCUGACUUUUUACAUGUAUUCCAAGUAGGUCUCUGGCUGUUGGUCCUGUGCCAUGCAAUAAAUGCAUUCAAAUGUCA